GCCUGGCUGGCUCAGUUGGUAGAGCAUGUGACUCUUGAUCUCAGGGUUGUGAGUUCGAGCCCCACUUUGGGCA
Molecule: transfer RNA, 73 nt
Filed under: Ailuropoda melanoleuca (giant panda)
Lineage: Eukaryota; Metazoa; Chordata; Mammalia; Carnivora; Ursidae
Rfam family: tRNA
About the family: Transfer RNA (tRNA) molecules are approximately 80 nucleotides in length. Their secondary structure includes four short double-helical elements and three loops (D, anti-codon, and T loops).
Source: Rfam by way of RNAcentral